GUGCCAGGACAUCUUUUAAGGAGUUCGAGCCUUCCCAUCUUCCUAGAACAAGAGCCACACCUGGGGCGACGCAGCAAACCGACCCCCUCCCCAUGGUGGCGCAACAGAUUCCCGCCUUUUUCGCACACUAUUCAUCAAGCUUUCCACCAAGGAUGGCGCAUUAUCGGCAGACACACAAACAACCUCCACUUACCAAUGCACAUCCUUGGUCCAUAUCCAAAAGGCAGAAGGGAGAAUGACUGGACGUUUGAUGACUCAGUCCGGAGCCAUCUCUCCGCACGAAGAUAGUGCAUCUUGUUCAACACCCUGUCGUCUAUGGGCUGCUCUGGUGGAACAACCUCCAAGAUCUCCUCGUACAGUUUUUGCUGAGCAUCGGGAUUUUUCGCCAGGCAGUACAGAUUGAAGACCAGAGUGUGUGCCGUCUGAAGCAUUAAAAAAAUGAAGGAGCUUGGUAAAGUCGGGGACCUGUCCAGCGGUCUUGCCCUUCCGUACCACCCCUUGUAUCAGCCCGACCAGCUCCCGGGACACCUCAUCCUGCAUUGUGGCGUACGCACCUACCGCCUUUGGGCGCAUCAUGUCCUUAUUAACAGACCUUCGGAGGCGGAACCACUCUUCUCCAUUUCUGCAUAAACAAUAUGCAGAUACGUGACUAGCUGAGCAGUGGACCAUGAUUUGCAGGAAGCCUAUGGCGUCCCCCGUCUCUGCAACUUCUGCUUAACGACCGCACAGAAGCAAUGGAUUUUACGCCUUUCUGACAAAUAUGGAGUGGA
This is a long non-coding RNA of Branchiostoma floridae (Florida lancelet), 770 nucleotides long. RefSeq lists it as uncharacterized. NCBI's taxonomy places the organism in Eukaryota, Metazoa, Chordata, Leptocardii, Amphioxiformes, Branchiostomatidae. The record is from RefSeq and is a predicted model, not a curated record. The transcript has 5 exons.